AAAUUUAAAAUUUGAAAACGUAACAUAAAACAAAACUUGGUAAUGAUAUUUCCAAUUUUUAGGGGAAAACACCUUAUUCGGUUAAUUCAUUUAAAUUGCAAAAAAACCACUUAUAAGAUUACUUAAUUUUGCAGCAAAAAUCAUAAAUUAAAUAGAGUUUUGAAAACCGUAGUUUGAUUUUGAAAUCCAUUGCAUUGCAGUUUGAAAUAAAAUAUUCAAAAAAAAAGAUAAAACAGUUCAGAGUGAAGAAUAAAAUCCAAAACAAAUAACAGUCCCUAAAAAUUCCAAAAACAGUCCAAUUGAAAAUGGUACUUAAACUCAAUAGAAUUCAAAAACAAUAAUUUAAACCGAGCUCCUGCUACGCCGAUCUGCCCUAAGUUUGUUGGUUACCUGAGAGGAAAACAUACAAAAAAUGAGCUUAUGAGCUCAGUGUGUAACACAUCCCAAGCAACAAUCAGAUGUACAAAAAUUAAUAGAUACAUUUCAGAUGCAUGAUCAGAUACAAAAUCAUAUGUGUUUUCGUAUUCAGAUACAAAAACAUAUUCAGAUAUGUAGUCAGAUGCAUAUUCAAAUCCUACCCCUAUCCUUACACACCAAAUAGGGUAUUAAAUAACCCCACACACCAAUAAGUGAGCGUAUGUCACUUUUUAAAAAAAUGCAAUCAAGCUGCCAGAAUAGAUACGUGGUCAAGCCACUAGAACAAAUAUAUGUGGUUUAAACCACGAGAUAAGGCAGAUUAUUAAAUUACCAACACUUCUUCCAUCAAUUCAUAUUCCCACCCCAAUGCUCAUGCAAAUACUAACAUAUAUCACAUGCACAUAUGUCAUGCAUGCUUUUCACAUAAGACAUGCUAUCAGAAUUAUCAUAAUAUAAAUUAUUCACAUAUAUUUCACAAAUCUUAACCACAAUUCAUACAAUAGAAUACUAUUAGAUAUCAUGUUUUCAGCCCUAUUUAUACAGUAUAGAUUCUACUGAGCGGCUAAAUACGCAUCAUAGAUCAAUAUAGCCUUAGGUGAAAUUUUUCCAAAAAAUGGGCUCACACGCCCGUGUGGCCAACACAGGCCAACUGGCCCAAAUAGUCCACUCGUGUGGUCCACACGGUCUAACACACAGUUGUGUGAUGCCGGUAGUGGGUUUUUCAACUUUCUACCUUUCGUUGUUUUUACGGGAUCGAGUCGCACACCUAGUUAGUUUCCAAUGUAGAUUCAAGAACGAGUACAAUUCACACUAAUUAGCAUGCUUUUUACCAACUCGAUGCAUCAAUUCGAAACAACCAUCAACAAUCGAACCGAAUUUUCAAAAACAAAACAGCCUCUACAAAUGGCGAAAUCACUUAACCUUGAAUGAAACCACAACAUAAAUAAAAACUUAGUUCGCCAGAGGAUCAACCGUCUCACGAUCUUCUCCUAAUUGCACCAAAACACGUAAAUUAAACACUAAAAUCACUUUCUUGGUAAAGAACCUAAUAACCAAAUAUUACACAUCAACCAAAAAGAAUUAUAGUCUUAUCGAAUACCACAAAUGCGUACAGCCAACACCCAAAAAUUGGAACAACCGAAAAGGAUUCAAACAAAGGAACUCACGCCAACUAGCACAGAGUUUGGAACAAUAGAGAAAGAAUUGAAAAAAAAAGUUAUGAGCAAAGAACAGUUUCGGUGAGUAGAAUGAGAAGGAACAAAAAUUGAAAAGGAAAAUUGUGGGGAAAGUAACAGUAUAGACAACAAAAAGGAAAAGAGACAAAGGGAGUGGGAAAAGUGGGAGAGAUUUUUUUGGGAUUUUCUUGGAAAUAAUUUAAAAACAAUAUCCACGUAAUCCCACUACUAACCACUUAUCAGAUUUUAGAGUUCAAAUUCACCCUAAUUCUACCAUAUGGACGGCACAAGCAGAAUAUUGCAAAAAUAUUUUUGUUUUACACAUACAAUGAUUUGAACACAAAACUAAAGGGUAAGCUAAUACUUUACCAUUAAAUUAGUAGACUCAUUUUAUCUUUAGUUGCACAAAAAUAAUAUUUAAGCCCAAAGUUAAGAGAUAGGGGUUUAGACAAAAAUUAACAAAAUUCAAGGGAAAAGGACUCGAAUCUAGAACCUCACACACACAAGUACAACACCUAUCCACUAAAUCGGAUUAAAUCACUUUAAUUAUUUUAAUAAUUCAAAAACUAAAAUUUUGGGGUGUUAAAUGGUUGAGAGGACAUUUUUUGUUCUAAAAAAGUGGUCCACUUUAAUAUAGUCUGAUAAGACAAUGUUAAAUUAUGCUAGCAUAUUGCAUACUUCCUAACUUCAUUCAUAUGUGAAAUGACCUAUACUUUGAAGAGUAUAUGAAAGAAAAAGAUCCUAUUAAUUCUAAUGAUACGUAGUCAAAUUCCAAUUCAGAUGAUGAACUAAUUAGUCAAAGAUCAACUGAUGAUGAUAAAGAGUAUAUGUUAAAUGUUACACGGGGAAUAGGCUAAUAAAUAUGGAAUGCUAGAGCAAUUAGAUAAAAUUGCAUAUGAUGCUUAUUUUCUUAUUAUUUUUAUUGGUAAUCAUAUUUUUUUACUACUUCUUGGACUAACAUAUUACAUACAAUUAUUUGAUUUUGAUUUGUUACUUGUUUAGAAAUUUUUUUCUUUAAAAUAUUAUUGAUGUUUUUUAAAAAAUAAAUAAAUUAUAUAACUGUAUAAUUAUAAUUUGUACUACUUAACAUGAUAUAAAAAAUUACAAUAUAAUUACACCUAUUAAUCAAAUAUGUCUAAAGAAUAAUAAUUUUUUGUAAUUAAAAGAGGAUGUAAUUAAGAGAUAUAAAAAUAAAAAAAAUUAAAAGAUAUAAACGUAAAUGGAGGAAUAUGAUAGAAAAAAUGUAGGUUUCUUUCGCAUGGUGCGAGAAUUAUUUUAUGCAUUCCUGGGGUUUAGAAAAUUUUAAUUAAACAAUUAAUUGUAUUUUGAAACAAAAUUUUAAUAUAUUAGGCUUAAAGGUAUAAAAUUUUAAGUAAAAAAAUUGAGAUUUUCAAUUUAAUUUAUACUUAAUUAAAAAUUUUUAUUAAUAUAAAACUUUAAUUAAGCACCUUUAAUAAUGAUUUUUUUAUUACAUUUAUUGUUAAAAUUAGCUAACACCAAAAUAAUCGAGCAAAACUGAAAAACCCUAGAAACCAAGAGUAUUAUCCUUGGUAUCCUAGCGAUAACAGUGGCUGCUGCGGCUUGGGAUAAUGGAGAGUGGUGGUAUCGAUGGGUUUGGGGGAGAUAAGAUCUCCCUAUUAACAGAAGAGCUUAUUCAACUUUCGGUCAAAAGUUUGAUGGUGGAGCCAAGUGGCAAUUUUUCUCUGAUAUGUUCUAUAUGGACAAAGAAAUCUUACAACCAAGACAGUUUCAAAGCACAGAUGAGGAGUAUUUGGAAGACAAGGAAGAAAUUCGUGAUUCAAGUGGUUGGACAAAACCUUUUUUUGAUAGAGUUUGAAUUAGAAGAGGACUUAGAGACUGUUAUGGAAGGCCAGCCAUAGUUGUUUAGGAAACAAUUAAUUUUGUUUGAUCGACUGAGUAAACCAAUGAUGAGAGAUCAAAUUCGACUUGUCUCAUCUCCAUUUUGGAUUAAAAUUGGGCCGUGUCUACCAGAGUUUGAUAAAAAAGAUCUUCUGCAUGCUAUAGGAGUCACUUUUGGAGGGGUGAUCAGAUCUGAAAUAUUAGGUGAGUUCUGUCGUCUUAGAGUGCAGUUAAAUGUACAGAGACCCCUUCGCAGGGGUAUUUUUGUUUCAAUAGGGAAUGGGAACAAAUUUUGGAUCCCUUUUAAGUAUGAAAAGCUGCCGACUUUCUGCUUUGGGUGUGGUAGGUUGGGGCAUGGUCUCCAUGAUUGCUCAGAAAUUACUCCUGCAGAUAAAAACUGAAUUAAAGAGGAUCCACCUUUCUCUUUAGCAUUAAAAGCAGAAUCAACGUUGGUUGGAAGGGAGAGUCUAAAGCUAAAUGCUCUAUCGAAAAAACUACAACCACAAUACUCGUAUGUUGGAGGUAUUACAAAGCAUCAGGAAGAUUAUUUGUCCAGGGAGCAAAGUAGUGAUAUGAUGAGAGGAGUCCAAGAUGGUGCUUGGUUGGCAUCAAUUGCUGCAGAUCUAGAAAUACGAAAGGAAGAAGGAAUCAAUGAAGGAGAUAUUGUAAAUAGAAACGCUAAUAAUCUGAAUUCAGCCAGGAAAGCUAGUUGGAAAAGAAUGAAAUUAAUGGGAAAGAUCGUAAAUUGCAAAAAAGGAAAUUGACAGAGUUAGUACAAGAUGAAUACGGGACAAAAGAGACUCAGGAAGAGAAUCCAAAAAGGGCUAGACAUGGUGGACAGGAUCUAAUCACGGAGGAUGAAACCAAUUUGCAAAUAGAAUAUUCAAACCAGACAGGAUCGGUGGCUGCCAAUGGGCAAGCCGACCGGGCACAAUGAAAAUCAUAUGCUGGAAUAUCUGUGGAUUGGGGAGUCCACGGGCAGUAAGAAAGCUUCGGUUUUUACUGAAGCAAAAUAAUCCUCAACUAGUCUUCCUAAUGGAGACUAAAGUAAGUGAAAAACGUAUAGAAGCAAUUAAAAGAAGGUGUGGCUUCACGAAUGGGCUUGAAGUAGGAGCUGUUGGUACGCGGGGUGGGAUUUGCUUAGCAUGGCGAGAGGAGGCUCAGAUUAAUCUUAAAUCCAUGUCAACAAGUCAUAUUGAUGUGCUGGUCAAAGAAGAAGGUGUUCAUGAAGAUUGGAGAUUCACAGGGUUUUAUGGCUCACCCUACUCACAAAAUAAAAAUACUUCAUAGGGUUUACUAAAGAUCUUGGGACAGGAGCGAGAGUAUCAUUGGUUAGUGAGUGGAGAUUUUAAUGAAAUAUCUUAUUCAUUUGAAAAAAGGGGAGGUCAACCGAGGGAGGAAAGGAAGAUGGCAGCGUUUCGGGAAGUUCUGCAAGACUGUCACCUUUUAGAUAUGGGAUAUUCAGGAAUAUGGUAUACAUGGGAAAUAGGGAAUCUACCAGAGACGAACAUUAGAGAAAGAUUGGAUAGGGGUGUUGCGAAUGAAAAAUGGAUGGACUUAUUUCCAACGGGCAAUAUUCAUCAUUUAACGUCCACCCUUUCGGAUCAUUGUCCUCUCCUAAUAAGCACAACUAAUGCAAGCAGAUUCAAGACAGUUCCAAGUUUCAAGUUUGAAGCUUGGUGGACCACAGAGGAAUCAAUAGAAAAAGAAAUUCGAAAAUCCUUAAAGUUAUCAAAUGGAUCGGUUCUGGAGAAGCUUGAGAACUUACAGAUUAGCUUAUCAAAAUGGGCAAAAUUCAUAAAGAAGAAACGAAAGGGGCUGACGGAUAAAAUUACAAAAGAGCUUGAAGAUUUAAUGAAGAAGGAACUUGAUGAAGAUGUUAUGAGCCAGAUUAUUGAAAAAAGAAUCGAUUUGAGUAUGGAGACCGAUAAGGAGGAGAUGUAUUGGGAACAGAGAGCAAUAGCUAAUUGGCUGAAGUUAAGAAUAAGAACACGACAUUUUUUCAUAAUUAUGCAUCAAUACGGAGAAGAAUUAAUACAAUCAGUAGGCUUGAUAGUGAUGAUGGAAAAGGAAUCAAUGAGGAAUCAAAAAUUAAUGAGAUGGCUAAGCAGUAUUUUCAGAAGCUUUUUUCGACUACUGGCGUUAGAGAUUCUUCCCACCUUUUAACAGGUAUUCAAAACAGUAUCUCUUCGGAUAUCAACACAGCCCUCUUGGAAAAGUUUACGACAGAGGAGAUUUAUAUAACAGUAAAGGGAAUGGGUUCUACAAAAGUUCCAGGUUAUGAUGGAUUUUCGGCUUUAUUUUUUCAAAAAUACUGGGGUAUUGUGGGUGAAGAUAUUGGGAAUUUCUAUUUGGAAGUUUUGAACAACGGAAAAGAUGUGAAAGGGCUAAACCUAACUAAGAUCACUCUUAUUCCGAAGAAUUCCAAUCCUACGAACCUUGUCGACUUUAGACCAAUUAGUUUGUGCACAAAUUUAUAUAAAAUUAUAGCCAAAGCUAUUGCCAAUCGUCUCCAGGAAGUCAUUAGAAGAUGUAUUGAUAGUGCUCAAAGUGCAUUUGUCCCAGGGAGGCUUAUUUCGGAUAAUGUUUUGAUAGCCUAUGAAAUUCUACAUACACUUCGGCAAAAACGCAAGGGGAAAAAAGGAUUCAUGGCGAUUAAGCUGGACAUGAGUAAAGCCUACGAUAGAGUUGAAUAGGUUUUCUUGAAGGAAGUUAUGAUGAGGAUGGGAUUUGCGAAGGAAUGGGUGGUAUUAAUAAUGAGAUGUAUUUCUACAGUCUCUUAUGUUGUGACCACAAAUGGGAAGAGUGGUAGAGUUUUUAAACCAACCAGAGGACUCCGACAAGGUGACCCACUUAGCCCUUUUCUUUUCUCAUUUGCAGUGAAGGUUUAUCGUCCUUAAUCAGGAAUGCCACAAGAGAGGGGUUGAUUAAAGGGGUGAGAGCUAGCAGAAGAGGCCCGACAAUCUCACACUUGUUAUUUGCAGAUGAUUGCAUUUUGUUUGGUGAAGCCACCGAAAGUAGUGCAAGGAACCUAAAAGCUAUUUUGUAAGAGUAUGAGACUUGUUCUGGUCAAUGCGUUAAUUUUAAUAAGUCCAUGAUCUUUUUUUAGUUCGAAUUUAGAGGAGGGUGAUAAAGGAAGUAUAUCGGCUGAAAUGGGAAUAGGAUGCUCGACUAACAUGGAGAAAUAUCUAGGACUGCCAAACAUAGUAGGUCGGAAGAAAAAGGAAUCUUCUCAGAUUCUCAAAGACAGAGUAAAGCAAAGGAUCAAAAAUUGGAGCACUCGUUUCUUAUCUCAAGGGGGUAGAGAGGUUUUCAUUAAAUCAGUACUUCAAGCAAUUCCUACUUACGUAAUGACAUGUUUCCUACUACCAAAGUCGCUUUGUGGUGAGUUGGACAAUUUAUUUGCUAGAUUUUGGUGGCAGAAAGGAAAAGGAAAGAAAAGAAUUCACUAGUGUCAAUGGGAAUAUAUGUGUAGGCCUAAAGAGGAGGGUGGUAUGGGUUUUCGAAAUAUGGCACAUUUCAAUAUAGCACUACUGGCUAAGCAAGGGUGGAGGAUUAUGAAUAAUCAGAAUGCUCUCGUAACGCAAGUAUUCAAAGCUAAGUAUUUCCAAGAUGAUCAUUUCUUAAAUUCCCGUUUAGGAAAUUCAUGUUCUUAUGUUUGGAAAAGCAUUUGGGCAGCCAAAGACUUAUUGACAAAAGGGCACUGUUGGAGGGUGGGAAUGGGUACUAAUAUUUCUAUCAAUGAUGCUUGGAUUCCAGAUUCAGUUAACUUUAGAUUAUUAUUAGAAAUUAAUUCUAUGCGCGAUGCUAAAGUUGAUGAGUUGAUUGACAGUCAUUACAGAAGUUGGAAAAAAGAGUUGAUUACCAGUACCUUUUCGGAAGAUGAUGCCACCAAAAUCCUCAGAAUUCCUCUGGCACAAACACCGCAUGAAGACUUUCUUAUCUGGGGUGGCGAACGGUCGGGUGAAUUCACGGUCAGAAGCGCCUAUCAACUAUUACAAAAAUUGACUAAAAGUCUUAGAACUUAUGCUUUACAGACCAUCUAUAGGAAUUUUUACAAAAAACUUUGGAGCCUAAAUCUACUGACUAAAAUAAAGGUCACAAUAUGGAAGUUAUCUUGGAAUUAUCUACCUACAAAGGUGAAUUUAUAGCACCGGAAGUUAGCAGUCAAUCCAAGCUGUCCCCGAUGUGGAGAAGGAGCUGAAACAAUGAACCAUUUAUUUCGCGAAUACCGUGUUACAAGGGAGGUAUGGAGAGCAUUAUCGUUCCAGAACAUUUUGAUGAAUCAAUGUGAGGAUUUUUUACAGUGGAUCACCUGGGUAGUAGAGGAGCUCAGCCUUUAUCAAAGUUGAAUAUUCUGUUGUGCACUUUGGGCCAUAUGGGGAGAUAGAAAUAAAAAAAUACAUGAAGGCAAAGUUAGUAAUGGGACGGAAGUUGCAAACUUUAUAAACAAUUACAUUAAUGAGAUUAAUGGCCUUGAAAAAAGAGAUCGGAAUCGUACCGGAGAGAACCAGAGAUGGUCGUACCCACAGGAGAGUUUCAUCAACAUCAACUUUGAUGGUGCCUACGAUAAAAGCCAGAAUCGGUCGGCUUCGGGUAUUGUGGCCAGAGAUUCGGAACGAAAUAUCCUCUUCUCAUGUUCAGAGAUUCAUUCUAAUAUCUCAUCGGCCUUUGCUGCUGAAGCAAUAGCCUGCUGGAGAGCAGUCCAAAUAGGAACCGGGAAGGGAUGGCAGUUUCUGAUUCUUGAAGGAGAUUCCCUCGCAAUCAUCAAAAAUGCAAUUCAAAGGGUCAAGACAGAUCGAUGGUAGGGGCAUACAUUUAUAACAUUCAACAGAAAAUAUAUGGAUUUGAUAAUAUCAGAUUUCAACAUACACCUAGGUCUGCAAAUAAUCUUGCACAUAUCUUAGCAACAGAAACGUUAAAAAGAGGAGAAGAAAUUUACCUGGAUAGGGGAGUUCUUGAGUAUGCUAUGGAUCAAACUCGGUACGAUGGGAGAAGAGGACCAGAUUAGAAGUUUUCAGGAGAGGAAGAGUGGAGAAAGGAAGCCUCAGAACAGUAAAGGAAACGGAUCGAUUUUCUUGGCAUAUUUUGAAAAUGGAAUCGUCAAAAAUGAAUUGAAAUGACAGAAAGACUGGAAGACGGUUUCCAAACAACUUCUGAUUGGGCAACGGAUCGGUGCAUUAAUGCCGGUUCUAGAAUUUUCGUUUAUAAUAUCUAGAUAUUUUUGUAUAAGGCCAUCUGAUUUGGGCCAUGUUUUGGUUUAGGUUUAUUUUGUUAUGUUUUGGUUUUAUUUGGUUUUGGUUUCAGAUUAGAACAGUAUGUAUUUAUUUUCAUAAUAAAGCCCAAUCCGGAAAUUUCAAAAAAAAAAAAUUAGCUAACACCAAUUAGAAAGUUUGAAAAUAAGGAGUGUGAUGUUGCGGCUGAGUAAUAUAGAGGAUGAUGAAGUAGUUUGCAUGUUGGGUGAAGGUGCUUUGGAUGGUGAUGGCACUUUGAAC
RNAcentral lists this long non-coding RNA (8947 nucleotides) under Gossypium barbadense (sea-island cotton). RNAcentral's name for it is "long non-coding RNA (GBAR_LNC013393)". The record is from RNAcentral. Lineage: Eukaryota; Viridiplantae; Streptophyta; Magnoliopsida; Malvales; Malvaceae.